RNAcentral lists this ribosomal RNA (1245 nucleotides) under metagenome. Its description in RNAcentral is "bacterial LSU rRNA". It matches the Rfam family "Bacterial large subunit ribosomal RNA", at positions 1564 to 2818 of the family's 2925-position model. The record is from RNAcentral.
UGAAUACGAGACGCUAAGGCGUCGAAGUAGUGUAUGUCAUACUUCCAAGAAAAGCUUGCACUGUCAUAGAUAAAAAACGCCUGUACCAUAACCGACACAGGUGGGUAGGUAGAGUAUACUAAGGGGCGCGAGAUAACUCUCUCUAAGGAACUCGGCAAAAUAACUCCGUAACUUCGGGAGAAGGAGUGCCUUAUUCGUAAGGUUGCAAUAACAAGAUCCAAGCAACUGUUUAUCAAAAACACAGGUCUCCGCUAAGUCGUAAGACGAUGUAUGGGGGCUGACGCCUGCCCAGUGCCAGAAGGUUAAAGAAGUUGGUUAGCAAUUGCGAAGCUGAUAACUGAAGCCCUGGUGAACGGCGGCCGUAACAAUAACGGUCCUAAGGUAGCGAAAUUCCUUGUCGGGUAAGUUCCGACCCGCACGAAAGGCGUAAUGAUUUGGAUACUGUCUCGGAGAGGGGCUCGGUGAAAUAGACUUGUCUGUGAAGAUGCGGACUACCUGCACCAGGACAGAAAGACCCUAUGAAGCUUUACUGUAACUUGAAAUUGAAAUUGGACUUUAUUCGCGCAGUAUAGGUGGGAGGCGUUGAUUAUAAUCUUGUGGGAUUAUUGGAGCCAUCAGUGAGAUACCACUCUUGUAAUGUUAGAUUUCUAACUUUGAAUCAUUAUCUGGUCAAAGAACAGUUUCAGGCGGGCAGUUUGACUGGGGCGGUCGCCUCCUAAACGGUAACGGAGGCGUACAAAGGUUUCCUCAGAACGGUUAGAAAUCGUAUCUAGAGUGUAAAGGCAUAAGGAAGCUUGACUGUGAGACCUACAAGUCGAGCAGGGACGAAAGUCGGUCUUAGUGAUCUGACGGUACUGAGUGGAAAGGCCGUCACUCAACGGAUAAAAGUUACUCUAAGGAUAACAGGCUGAUCUCCCCCAAGAGUUCACAUCGACGGGGAGGUUUGGCACCUCGAUGUCGGCUCAUCGCAUCCUGGGGCGGUAGUACGUCCCAAGGGUUGGGCUGUUCGCCCAUGAAAGCGGUACGCGAGCUGGGCUCAGAACGUCGUGAGACAGUUCGGUCCAUAUCCGGUGUAGGCGUUAGAAUAUUGAGAGGAGCCUUCUUUAGUACGAGAGGACCGAGAAGGACAUACCUCUGGUGUACCAGUUAUCGUGCCAACGGUAAACGCUGGGUAGCUAUGUAUGGAGUGGAUAACCGCUGAAAGCAUCUAAGUGGGAAGCCCACCUCAAGAUAAGUAUUCUCAGC